RNAcentral lists this ribosomal RNA (600 nucleotides) under Aeromonas finlandensis. Its description in RNAcentral is "bacterial SSU rRNA". It matches the Rfam family "Bacterial small subunit ribosomal RNA", at positions 826 to 1426 of the family's 1533-position model. The record is from RNAcentral. Lineage: Bacteria; Pseudomonadati; Pseudomonadota; Gammaproteobacteria; Aeromonadales; Aeromonadaceae.
GUGUCCUUGAGACGUGGCUUCCGGAGCUAACGCGUUAAAUAGACCGCCUGGGGAGUACGGCCGCAAGGUUAAAACUCAAAUGAAUUGACGGGGGCCCGCACAAGCGGUGGAGCAUGUGGUUUAAUUCGAUGCAACGCGAAGAACCUUACCUGACCUUGACAUGUCUGGAAUCUUGUAGAGAUAGGGGAGUGCCUUUGGGAAUCAGAACACAGGUGUUGCAUGGGGGUCGUCAGCUCGUGUCUUGAGAUGUUUGGUUAAAUCCCCCAAAGAGCGCAACCCCUUUCCUUUUUUUCCAGCACGUUAUGGGGGAACUCAAAGGAGACUGCCGGUGAUAAACCGGAGGAAGGUGGGGAUGACGUCAAGUCAUCAUGGCCCUUACGGCCAGGGCUACACACGUGCUACAAUGGCGAGUACAAAGGGCAGCGACCUAGCGAGAGCAAGCGAAUCCCAAAAAGUGGGUCGUAGUCCGGAUCGGAGUCUGCAACUCGACUCCGUGAAGUCGGAAUCGCUAGUAAUCGCAAAUCAGAAUGUUGCGGUGAAUACGUUCCCGGGCCUUGUACACACCGCCCGUCACACCAUGGGAGUGGGUUGCACCAGAAG